AGAGCAGCCAAGGGUUCUCCUGCCCCAGCAUGUGCCUGCUCCCCCCUAGCUUCCUCAGUAAUUAGUGUCAGUGAUGGUGUUAGAUGCUAUUAUGGGAAGAUUCUGCUGAGAACAGAGCUGAGCUCUCCAUGUGCACUUCCCAGGGGAGCUUUGGCACUUUGUCCUCCUCCCCCACUUCCACUGCAGCCACUACAGCAGCUUCCGGGACUCACGGCUGAUUUGAUGCUGUUCUUGAAACAAAGCUGCUGGAGGGUAUUUUAUACCUGAGAGGCCACAUCCUGAGCCUGGGACAGGCAAGGACCAAAGCAGUGGAAGAGGCUGGCAGCCCUGCCGAGGUAUUGUGGUGAACAACCUAAAAUUUUAGUGAAAGUGAGCAACGUGGAAAGUAGAAGUGGACAAAAACUUUCAGAUCUUCUCAAUGGCCAUGUCCUACCCAUCGUCCUUGAUGGGGCAAUAAAGUGAGGAAAGAGUAAGAGAGGAGAAAAAGAAUGAGACGAGUAAUGUGAAAGUGGGAAUGGAUGAAGUCAAGAGGCUGAAAAAUUAAUUAAGCAUGCUGCAAUAGGCAAUUCUUAACAGACACUGCAGUGCCCUGUGCUAAAGACUGUACAGUGAUGCUAGGGCACUGAUAUUUAGUACUGCAGGUAUAGAACCCUCAAGUUUUGGAUCUUGUGGUCAUCGGGGUUGGUGGAGUGGGCUUGGGUGUGCAUUGUAGAGUAGAACAAGAGAAGGUGAAAAAUCCAAGAGACCAAAACAGCACAGUGUGCUUCAGGUCCUCACUGGGUGGACAGGGAUAGCUUAAGCUCUGUGCCCUGCACUUCUCAGGAGAUGUCAGCCCAGGGUCCCUGCAGGACUAAAAGCCUUCAUGGCCACGCUUGGCUAAGCAAGCAGACAUUUAGGGGUUUAACUGAAGUGGAUCUGUAAUCUUUCAGUAUUUUAUAAUACAGUAUGUUACAGGAGACCAUAAAUUAGAGCUUAUAAUACCCGAUCCGCUCAGCUACUGACAGAAUAUCUAAGGUAAUCUGACCUGCUUCACAGACCGUGAGAAAAAUCCUCAUGGAAAGUGAAAGAGAUGAAUUACAGAAUUUUACAGAGAAGUGGGAGAAUUUCUCUCGGCUCAGAUCUUGGGUUAAUUCCCAUGUAAGGUGAAAGAAUGUUUCACCACAUUUUGCUCAACUGAAGUUGGCAAGCUUUAAUAGAUGCAGCCCUGCAGGCUGAGGGAUAAACUCUGCUCCCUUUCACUCACUUGAGCCACUGCCCAUGUGAUCAACAAUGUGGGUAGUAAUAAAGUGAAGGAAAUAAGGGAAGAGAUCUCUGAGAGAAAGCAAACGAUGGGAUGAAAUGCUGCAAAAUGUCUGAGGAGGUGUUUUUUUCUCAUUAGGAGGGGGGAUACAUCCCAGUGCUCUACCUCCACAAUAAGGAAUGCAUUUCCUAUCUGCUCGGAGCUGUUGUUCCUCCCUGUCACAAGCAGAGAAUAAAUACAGUCUCAUAAUUACAGCAUGCUGAAGGUGGAAGCUUUUCCUAUGGAUCAACCACUCUUUUUUUUUUUUUUUUUUUUUUGCCCUCCUGGUAAUAGUUGAUCUAUAGAACGUGUCUGUGAUCGUUUCAAAUGGAAGCUAGCAGUUACUUUCUGUUUUCUGCUUUAUGUUCGGGAAAUGUGUCUCCAGAGAUGCCUCCUUCUCUCACCUCUUCCCAUAACAGUGAGAGGUGCCAGCAGCUCCUCUGCCACUUUCCUAACUAUUUCCAUUCCCCUUCUACAUACUUAUGUUUCAUACUUGCUCUCUCAGUCAAUUCCUGCAAGAACUAAAAUGUGGGUCUUGGUCGUGUUACGUUGGAUGCUGAUCUCUGAGCCAGGUCAGGUGCCUGCAGGCAGGAAAAUAUUUGGUUUUCUGCCAUCAUUUCUUUGUAUCACACCUUUACUGCAAAGUGUCCAAAGGAAAUGAACUUUUCCAGAAAAACAGCCCGAAGAAAACCUUUGGAGUUUCUCAUUUAUGAGUAUGUUUGUGUGAUCCAGGCCUUCUGUGAGGUUUCUAGAUGAUGCAUUGGUAAGAUGAAUGGAGACCUUUGUGUUAUCUGUGAUGGGGCAGAAAGCACACAGCUUCUGGAGUCUUUUGAGGAACUCAGAUGGAAGACGUUACACAAAUCCAAAGCGUGCAUUUUUUUAAUACCUCCUGUGAUUUAUUAGAUAAAUGUGUCAUCUUUACCUUAUAACUUCUUCGGCCUUGGUUUCUUUUCAAGAAUUAACCAGGAGCUGAUGAAUUUAAGGGAAAUUUUCCAGUGCUGACCAGGAGAUCUGAGAUCUUGAUAUCUCUGUGUACUUUCUCAAGGUACCAGUAGUCCCAUUUCCUCAACCAGUAGUACACUCCUUCUUAUUCUCAGUCAUAAUUGUUUUGAAACUGCCAAGUGUUCUUUCCACCUCUUUAAUUUUGUUCUCAGAAGAAAUCCUUCACUUCUUUGUAUGCAGAGGCUGCUGUGGUCUGGAUCUCAUCUCGUCUUCUAGUAACAUCUUCCAGAUUUGUUUUAAACUGAUUAGACGCUGCUGAAGAAUCAGCUCUCUCCCCCGGACAGUACAAAGCAGAGUGCUGGCAGAGCUGGCUCUUGGCCAUCAUCUACAUGGUGACGCAGCAUCACAUCACUUGACAGCCCCAAUUUCAUUUGGGGAGCUCUGAAACGUUCACAUGCACUGAAAAAAAUUAUAAUAAUACACAAGGUGACAGGAGGGUGCAAUUAAAACAGAAGCGCCAGCUUGACCAGAGAGUGGCUUUAAUUGGAGGUCUUCUGUACGCUGGAGCACAGACUCUAAAAGGUAUUUCUGCCUUUCUAAUGUGGCUGCAUUUCUGCCUCUGAAUUUUGAUUUUGAAAAACAGAAAAUGAUGCCUUUUUUAUUGGGCCAGUGAGAGAAAUUACAGGGAAUGAGCUGAGUGAAUUUAAAAUUCUCUCAGUAGGGUAUAAAGGCAGGGAAAUACUUGUCCCUCCAUAGCUCAGUAACUUCCAGUGCAGGUUAUACAUAGGAACACUCGUUCCCAGUGCCCACCUAAGCAUGGGGGUUCAUGUAAGUGAGGAUCACAUGUGUUGUCACCACCUCGAUUCUCUGCUGGAUGGAUCUCACCCUCACUUUAAACAUAAGGAAGAAAUUCAGAAGGUCACCACAUCAAAUACUAAUUCUGAAAUUCAUUUCUCCCUAAAGAUUAAUAUAAAGCCCCAAAUGAAAUACACUGAAAAUAAGCAAAGUUAGCUGCAGUAUUUGAGUCUUCCCAUCACAGUGUCCUAAGAGGUAUCCUGUGGUUUGACACAUAAUUAAUAUGUUUAUCUAUCUUUGCUUUCUUUCAUUCUUUGUUUUCAAUAACAGCCAUCACCAUAAUAGUCAAGUAUAAACAUUCCAUCCUGUUUCAUAAAGAGCCUACGGUCCAUUUUAUUGCAACACAGUUACUUUCCCAGAUCCCACGAGUGACAAGGCGUGAUGCUUGAAAAAAUUCUCUGAAAUUUUCUCACCGUUUUUGCUUGAAGUAAGUUGCAUUCUGUUUACAAACUUGGGAAAAUGGGCCUCUUUUGCCUACUUUUGAGUGUCAUGGGAACACAUACCGAGAUCUGAUCCAGUAGCACUGCGUGAUGCUGGGAGCUUCUCAGGGUCCCGUAGUUUGCCCCCGAGGGUGUUUCAGGAUGCGGUGUAAAGUUGCAUGCUGUUUGCCAUGUCCAGGGUCCCAGACACAUGGGGAAUCAGACUGGCUCCAAUAUUGAAAGCUGAUCAUUUUUCAGACAAACAUAGAUAUGACUUUUGUUAUUUAUUCACGCUGAAAUGUUAAUAUGUCCUCAUUACUCUAAAUUAUUUCAUUUUCAACUUACAGUAUGUUCAUGGAUUAUUUGAAGGAAUUACUGGCUUUAGCUUAUGUUAUCUGUGACUCACUUUUAAUAGACUUGACUGGCCAGGUAAUUUCCACAGUAUUGUUUUUGGCUCCUUAACUGGAUCCCAUCCAAGUUUACAAAGCGCUUCCACAGAGAUAAUGGAGAACAUUCCAGCCUCCUGUGAAAUGUCAGCUCUGUGUCCAGUGUUAGACGUGCAGCAUUAACCUGGUUAAAGCUGCUGGAUUCUGUAAUUUCUUUCUUGGAAGUACCAAACAUCCUAAAGACACCAAGUCAAAUCUGCCAAAAGCAGGAGAGAAAAAGAAAAUGGGAGACUCAGAGUGAGAGUGAAAAGUAAAUGCAAUGCUAUUACUUUACACCAAAGAACUGUAAGUUAAUUGAUGUCCAUAAUAAACUUUCAGUAGAAAAGUAUUAAAUAUUUUUGAAGACGUCUGUAAAUCCAGUAUUGGAAAAAAAAAAGUUACUGUUAUCUGGGUUUAAUCAGCUGAGAAAAGCAUGAUGAUAAAUAAGAUUUAGUGGAAGCAUAAAUUGAAAAUGGCGAAUAAUACUUUUAAAAGGGAGCCUACUGGAAUACGUAUGUCUCUAUGUCUCUGAGGUAUUUGAUUUGGAAUAUAUAAUCAUCUCCUUUGAGGAUAUUUAUGAAAGUUAUUUCUGAAUGUUCAGAGAUUUCUCUGCUUUUCAUUAUCUAUUUUUCUUAACAAGGGCCAGAACUGUAUGCCUGAUUUUCUGUGAUAUAUUCACUUGGGAGGUUUUCUCGUACUGGCCAAGGACACAUCGUUUACAAGAAGGUCCUGUCAAGCAUCCAAAUGUCUCUGCUGAAGCUUCCAUUUUAGAUGACCCCACAGAAUGUGAGAAAACCUUCUUUUAGGGGAAUGGCAUCUUCUGGCCAGAGCUGUGUCCUGAAAGGCUGCCGUGCUUAACGCACAGUUGAAAUGCCCAAUGCAAAUUAAUGGUAGAGGUAGGGAUGAUGUACCUGUGUUUUCUCAAGAAAGAAAACUCAAACCCUUGGGAUGAUAUUUUCUGCAUGCAUGAUUACCUUCAUUGCAAUUUGGAUUUCUGAGAAGGUCAGUUGGACUUUUGGGCCCUGUGUUCUGGAGAAAUCUGAAGAAUUUGGGUCAUCUUCCUCUCUUGACUUAAAAAUAACUUCUGUUAAUGCAAUUUGGAAAGCAUAUUUCUUUGAAUAUGAUCUUCCAUUUGCAGAGGGGGCAAAGUUUACAAUUUUGGGUGGAAACCAUGUGAAAGCUAGCAGUUCCAUCAGGGGUUUGUUUGGAAAUUUUUGGAUUUGUUCAAACUCAAAAGUCAAAGUGAAACUCGGGGGAUGUGAACCCGCUUGAAUCAAAACCAAAACAGUGAUGCGCCAGAUCUCCCAUGAACCAAAACCACCGGGUUCUCACAGUUCUCAUCCAAACAAAAAUGCACUAACAUAAAUCAAAUACCGAACCAAAUAUCCUCUUUUGCUCCAUCUGGCUUUCAUGGAAAUAACUCAGAAUAUUUAAAAGGUCUGCUCAGUUUUGCAGCAGCAACCACCAAAAUAUCCUGAGAUCAUUUGAUAUCUGGCAGUUAAUAUCCUGAUCUAUUCUCUUUAGUCAGUAUUCCAAUCCUUUUCUACCAACACUGCCUUGGAGUGCACAGCGUAACUAUCCCUUAACAUCUUCCUCGAUUGUACGGUUUCACAGGGAAGACUCUGUGAACAAUUCACUGUCCUUCUCCUUCUCAUUCUUGCUCAGAGAGCCAAGAAAGGAGUUGGAGCUGCAAGCAGAAAAAACCAAGCAGUACGAUCAGUACGGAAGCAGAACACUUAGCUGCUAUAGGACAAGCUGGGGCACUGAGAAAAUAUUUAAUGAUAAUUUUCCUUGUGAUUUCCCUUGUUUGAGACCAUACUAUGACCCUGAAAUGAGAGAAUUAAAAAAAAAAAAGAUGUUUUGCAGCAUAUCAUGUAGCAAAACGUCUCUAAAGCCAUUAAAAAAAGUGCUGGGCAUGGAAGAACAGAAAAGGUUUCCUCUGUAACUAAGACACGCUUGUUUGUAAUAACAUGUGCUUUCAAACACUGCCAAGUUGCUGAGGAUAUCUCUGUUAUAUACAAUCCUGAAAAAUGUAAGUGUUAAAAAAAACAAGGUAAUGUAAAAAAAGAAAAAAAAUCUAAAAAAAAGAAGAGUUUGAUCAGAUGGUUAAAAUCCAGUCAAACCUAAGACAACCUGUUUAUGACCUUUCCAUGCUAAAAGCUAGAAAUGUCUUUCUUUCUUUCUUUUUUUUUUUUUUUUCCACAAGAUUAAUUACCAUCACUUUGGGAGUAGUGAGCUGGACAUUAUUAUAUGAUGUCAAUUAAUGAUUAAAAAAAAGGUGGUUUGCAAAUGUAGCACCACAGUCCCUGGUGCAUUACAUCAUUUCUGAAAGAUCUUAACACGUGAUAAGCAGAGAACAUUUUAACCUAAAAGUCUGAGUGUUACAACCUCCUUUUCUGUUGUAACACCCUACCCACAACCUUUUGGCCUUGAAGUCACUCGCAAUAAAAUUAAGAAGUCAAAAAGAAAAGGGGGGAAAAAAACCUCUGGGAAAGACAAGACACACUUCUGUUUUGCUGUCGAGCAGAUAAUGCAACAAAAUGAGUGGCUAUACGCAUUGGGAAACGUGGUUGCUGAUCUUUGUGCAGUGUUCUCAGCAAGAUUCGUCAUCAAAAUCUCAUGCUUAGAGUCGUAAGGUUGCUGUGAUUCAGGUAUUAUAAACUACAUAAUGCAGUUAUCUCUGUGAGAGUGCCUCGAAAAUUUCAUGCGCUGACUGAAAUGACUCCUGCACUUGUCUAUGCGCUGCUUUCCCAGAUGGGCUGACAGUGAUCAUUUUAUGUGCCUUAUUGAAUUCGCUGAAAUAUUUAGAAGGGUUUCUACCUAUAUUUUACAUCUCCUUCUGUUAUUACCUUUUUUGCAGCAACAGUUUGACUUCUUCGUCAAUAAUACACAUAACCUGAUCCAUUCUUCUCUGAGCUCUUCUCCUCUUUUAGCGUCAAAAUGCUGUGGAUGUUCCUUUGUAAACGAUAUGCAUUUAAAAUACCUUUGUAAUAAUAAAUACCACACGAACAUAUGUAUCAAGGAAAGGAUUUCAAUUUUGAUGACACUUGCUUCUCAAGAACAGACAUUCUGGAAGGAAAAAACAUUGCCAGCCCCAAAUUGAUUGACAUUUGUUUACUUAACUCUCUCUUCUUGAAAGUCUGCACACCUAUUUCAACCUUGAACAGUUUCCAACUGUGGUAUACUGGAACAUUUUUUCAUUUAUUAAGUUCAGUGUUGCCAACCCAAACAAAGAGUAAUCAGUGAUGAUCCAAGCAGACCAAGCUGUCUAGCACCAUACAAUGUAUCUGCAUGCUAAUUUUCAAAUUCCCUCACAUUUCCAGAGAACUAAUGGGAUCAUUUUCAUUCUGUUACAGCAACUCAACAGUUACUGAAUCACCAUCUGUGUUUUCGUUAACCUGAAUCAGAUAUGAAUUCUGUUAUUGCAAGGUAGAGCAGCUUGUUUAAUGAUUCUUAAUCUUUUCUUUAAUUAAAUCAUGCAGCCAACCUGAAAAAUCUAUCUUAAUGCAAAUUAGGAGCUUUUUUGGCAUUCACUUACAGUAAUGCACUAAUAAGGUUAAUUUAUGAAGGUUCUCUUCCAGUCUGUACAGAUGAUAUUUGUUCGCUGCAUAUUUUUAGCAUAUUGUCCCCUUUUCUAAUAUUUAAAAAAAUAUCGCUAAUAAAAAAGGGGUUGUUUUCACUCAUACAAAAGAGGAAGGCUGCGAGCUGCUUUUUGUUUAUUUGAAAGAACACAGAAAAGGAAGAUGGGUUUCUCCCCUCCGUGAGCAUCUCUCCACGCGGGUGCAGAGGCACAAAUCGAGGACUGCUGGGUUAAAUGGUUUUGGAUGAGCACUCUCCACUUCUCGCUGGAGAAAUUCAGGCCCUGGUUCAGAUGAGCAUCUUGAAGUUAUCAGUGGAGACAGAGAGUUUCUCUGAACCCUUUGUUUUAUUUUUUUUCCUUGUAGGUGUGAAUUAAUUGUAUAAAGAGUAAAUAAUUCUUGUGAAAUAAGCCCGAAUACUUUCCUCAGUUGCACAAUUGCUUCAGCUCGGGGCUCUGAUGAUCUCAGUCAAGAAAAUUUCUGUCUUUGAACGCAUUCCUCCCAACUACAGAAUUAGUUGAAAUCUGUUCAAGUUGCUGAGUAAAGAGUAAACUUUGUUGUUUUCUUUUUAAGGUUAUUUUUCAACACCCACAAGCAAAUGGGGACAGCGACUGCAAAUUUCAACACGCGGCCGUUGCUAUUUAAUUAAAAUCACUGAGGCUGGCUGAAGACUUUUCAGCAGAGUGAUUUCACAUCAGAGAACACCGGUUCUCAAAAUCUGAACAUUCUUUUCAUAGAAAUCCAUCCCUCCAUUUCAACCAGGAAUGAGAUUUCAGUUCUAGGAAAGGACUUCUCAUCCCAGCUAGGAACGGCAAACCAUCACUCCCCUUUUGCGGCGGGGCUGCCCAACCGUGGCAGCCAGAGCAUCUCUUUCCACCCCUCUCUGUAUUUCCAGCUGUAAUCGUUCCAUGUCUGUCUGCAUUAACUAUUUGCACAGCUCAGGACAGGAGCUCUUGUCCGAGGAGUGGGGAAUCACCAAGGCUGUGAUUCUCUCUGUUUCAUUAAAGGUAACGCCUGCAGGGUGGUUGAACCUUCCUCUCGUUCCUUGCGACCGGGGAAUGGAAACAAUAUCUCACACUAUUUGUGCAGUGAUUCCUGGCUUGUUAAUAUUCUGGUGUGGCUGUUUUUCUCUGCUGUGAGGAACUUUGCCCACUUAGCAUGGGGUUUUGCCUCUGUCUAAGUGGGAAUGCUGCUUUUCCUUUUCCCUUCUUCCAUUUGGAAAGCUGUUUUCCUGCCAUUGCUAGUCCUUUCUGUGUAAUAUUACCGCAGAGAGAAUGAAAAGUAACUGCUUUCCUUCCCAUCCAAUCGUACCUACGUAGUCUUAAGUAUAUUAUAUGCUUCGCUUCCUGCUUCACCCACUAGUAAAAUAUGUUGAUAGAUGAAUAUGGGGGUAAGAUUGCUUUAAUUAGAACCUAUUGCCCUGCACACUAUCUUCUCUAAAGACUACCUGUAUUAACAUCUGGGGAAAAUAAGUCUUAAAGAAAAUUUCCUAGGACAGAUUUUUGGACUUCACCCCCCACCUUCUGCUUCCCAACCCUUUCAAUUUCUCAAGUAUAUUUAAAAAUGCAUGACUCACCCUGUUGCUUCCUUAUAUUUUAUGGUGAGGUGGUGAGGGGGAGUCUCUUCAUUUUCAUUCCUGGGAUUACCUUUAAUGAAGUGGAAAACAUCUACGGGAUGGGAUAAUACCUGAUGCUUACAGUUUUCUUUACAUCACAUUACAGUAUUUUCUCAGGUAUUAAAGUAGCACUGGACUCAACUAAGAGGAGUGAUCAAACUGUCUACUAAUGAAGUUACUCUGACAGGAACUCCAGGAACCGGAAACUGAACUUCAGAAUCAUGAAGAGCACUGCUAGAUGAAGACAUGGGCUGGAUACAUGUCUACCACACUAGAAGAAACUGAAAGAAUACGAUCCCAUUUGACUCCAAAAGUCUUUCUAGGCUAAUUACCAGCUCACAGAGCAGAGAAAUUAAGGCAGAGAGGGAAUGUUCAUGAUGACAACCUUUACCCAUUAGCAAGCUUUGCAUUUUCCCAAGGCUGAAGACAGUUUAGCCCUGACAAAUCCAAUCAGUGAUAUGCAGGCGUAACCUCCAGAAAUAAGCUCACAUUUUUGGGAUCCACGGGGCAAAAGAUGGACUGCAGUAAGUCACUAUGAAAAUAUUUAAAAUACAGCUUGGCCAGUGCUGAAAUGGCACAGUUGGCCUGAAGUCGCUUCAAGGUCUCCUGGCAUCUGCGUGUUUCCCCAGUGGCUUUGUGCAGUAAAGUGUUAACUUCUCCUGAGUGGUUACGUGUUUAAGGCAGUAACUUUAAAAUAAAGAACUGCAACCUUAGAGCAAAGCUGCUAUUUUGAGAAUUUUAAACCAUUAUUGACUCCUGUCAGAUCAGUUUCUAGACUUAUUGACUCAAGAAGUAAAUAUAGACUGAGAGAAAGCGAGGUCAAGUCAAUAUUUAUCUUGCAGAUCAAUACAUUUUGAUACUAACCAAAAAUUAAGCUCAAUAAAUGCAUAUAUUAUACACAGCAAGGUUAGAAGAGAUCCAUUCAGAAAAUUUGUCAAUUUGAAAUUUCCCAACGGAAUCCAACCUUUUGGAUUCAAUUUCCAUUAGAAAUUCUGUCCCUUUAAGGUUGCUUCAGUGACUGAUCACGAGCCCCCAUCACCCAAUCAGGUUUCCAGAUGAACGUUGAGUAGCAGCGAAAGGAAAAGGGAAGAAUGAUGAAGUGAGAAGAAGUUGGUCACAGGAGCUCGAUUACGGUGUUAGGAGGAGACUCGGCAGGGAUUGAAAUAACUAAAAAGAGAAAAAGAAAAGUGUUGGUUUUAUUAGAGCGAGUUUCAAGGUCUGUCUGUUUGUGCACAGUCCAAAUCUCAGGCGGCUCAGCUUAGGGUUUGUACCAUCAGGAGAACGGAAGAGCUGGCAAGCUGAGACACUACCAGUACUUUGUGGAAACCGACAUAUGAAUUUGUUCUACAAAUGUGCCAGGGACACACUGAUCCAACAGUUAGAUCACUUCCAGAAGACACGGAGUUAGAUCUCUGAGUUCACUUCCAAUUGCUGACUACUACUAUCCAAUAAAAGAAAAAUUCUGCGUAAAGUAAACAAGGAAAAUGGAGGAGAUUCUGCUGGAAGGACAGAAGGGACAGCAAGCAUGGAGAUUUAAGUCAGAGGAAGACCAACUGUCACUGCAGAGGGGAAAGGGCAUGAGAAUGAGCACUGCAAGAAAAAAAAAUCAUCAAAAAAUUCCUCCUUCUCUGGGAUGAAUACAGGGGAGUAAAUGUGUUCCUACAAAAAUUGAAUUAUGUAGUGAUUUUAAAUAUGGUGUGAGAAUGAAGGACAUAUGAGCUGCAACGAGAGAACCAAAGAGGAAUUAUGUGAUGUGUUCAGGCUGGGAGUGUGCCUCACAUGACAACAGGAAGAGAGGAAAGGUGGAGGAAAAAAAGAUCAGAAUCUACUCUAUUCUGAGCCAUUAAUGUCAGCCAUGUUGAUGUUUUGUAGCUAGUUAUAUUUGCUGAUGGUUCCCACGCACUCAUGACAUUCAACUUUGCAUCAUCCCCUAAAAACUGGAAAGAUGUCUCUCUGAGAAUGACCUAUAGCUUUGAUAUCACCAUAACUAAUUUCCUUUUCCUAAAGUAAUGGUGCCUACUCUUGAGGAGCAGAAUGCUGUGAGCUUUUAUUUCCAGUCUGAGGAUAGUUCUGUGAUAGGUGGAAUAAUGCCAGAACCUACUUUUCAUUAGAUUGUAUGAUCUGACUUUAUCUUGCACGCUCUGUGUGGUUUGAGUGAAUAAAUCACACCAGAAUUUAUGGGGUUUUCAUCCUUACAAAUGAAUCUUCAUCAUUACUAUGUGGAUAUAAGUAUUCUUGGGCUGCAGAAGACAGUGAGACCCACCAGGGCAACACAAACUGAUGCCAACUUGCCACCUACUACUCCCUUAACCCAAAACUCCAAGGACCUGGGCCACUGAAACACUGGGAUCCCAUAGGGACCUGCCUGGCCAUUCCAUUUGGGGUUUGCAGGACAGGAUCCUGGUCUUUUGUGAAAACUGUUGACUAAAAAUUUGAUUUUCUCUUUCUCUUUUUUUCUUUUACCUUAAGAAGGGCAGAAGAGGAAUGGCCAGAAGCCACCUCCUUCUUUUUUGGACCAGCCUGCUUUUCUAAGGGCAACAAAAACCAACAGAAGUGGUAGAGAAGAUGAAUGCAUCUUCCCUCCCUUCACAUAAAUUUGUGGGUUUUUUUUUCCUGUUGUUGUUGUUUUAUCCUUUUUUGUUUUAUUAUUUUUCCUAUUUAUUUUGCAAUUGGAAAAGUCCUGGGAUUUCAUUAACAACUUCCCAGGAUGACAGUGAGACCCUCACGACCCAGCAGCGAGUCCCAGUUCCCACCUGGGUGCCUCUGGAGAGUGACAAAUCUCUUGGAUGUGCUCUAACAUCCCAGAAGCACAGGCCAGGAACAUCUGUCUGUUCCUUCCCUUCCUUCAGACUGCCCCGAGGAGGAGGGAGGCAGGCAAGUAAUGAUACGAAAGGCAAAGGCUCGACUGGCCGUGUUACAUUAGCCAACUCAAAUAAUUCCUCUUGGCUGUGGAAACAGCCUUCCCAUCCAAAGCGGUCUUUUUUUUUUUUUUUCCCUUUUUCCCCCCCAAAAAACAAGAACAGCUUAUUUCCAAUUUUGGGCAGGUUCCUUGGCCAUGGGCCAGCUCUCCCCAUUGCCUCUCCGUGCUACUUCCCAAUGACCCUCAAGUGACCUUACUGAAUGCCACGGGGACCAAACCUUACCGAACAGCAAAAUCAAAGUAUGCAAAUGAAGCUUGGAUUAUUACAUAUAUAAUGAUGAAAAUGUUUUUCCUAUGCUAUUGCCUGUGCCCAGCUUCCUUCCCUACCACUCUGAGUGCUUCAGAGCUGUGUAUAGCUGUUGAGCUGAAGCACCCAAGAAUGGCUCUGAAGCAGGAAGAGAGUUCAAUCUGCAGGCUGGUUUUCCAGGCACUUUCUUUCUCAUUCUCCACAAGAUAGUUGAUAUUCCUCCGGAUUUUGCUGUUAUUAUUUGGGUGUCUCUACUUCACAGAAAAGGGCAGAUGAAUGCCUUUUGCAGCCUCUUCAGUCCACUCUAGUUCUAUUUUAGGCUGAGAAGACUGUGCUGCUUGGGUAGAUGGGUGCAUUUCAUGCCAACAGCUUAGUCUUUCUGCAAAGUUAGGCAUCUCAGUUUGAAAAAAUAAGUACUAGGUAAAGCUGUUUGAAUCAGUGCAGGAAGCUGAGUUGCUAUCAGAUGUAUAUGGCAUAAAGUACGUAUCCUGAUAGGUACUCUUCUUCAAAGGAAAAGUGGUGAUGUUUACUUGUGCAUUUUAAUGAUGAGAGGAUGCGUACUGUGACACGAAAUCCUAUCCACUGUACCAGUUCAACAGCAUUUAAACACUGAAGUCUGAGCUACGCAUAACCAAUGGGAAGGAUGUGGAAGAACGCUUGCCUGAAGACACCUACUCUUUAUUUUUAUUACAAAGUCAAUUACCAUUUCAAAGCAGCCAUGUGACAUGUAUACUGUCAGGAGCCAGAUGUUGGCAUUGUGAUAUUGUGACAUUAAUUUAAAAGAAGAGUCUUUUUUUUUUUUUUUUAAAUGCUGACUUCCCAAGGAUUAAGUUGGAUAUUCUCAAUGUAGUUGAAAAAAGAAUUUACAUUCCCCAAAGACAAACAUUCUUGUUUUCUGUUUGGUUUUAUAACUCAGUCAUUUCUCUAUUGAAGAAGCACAAAACAGAAAGAACUUUUGGUUUCAGGUAGUUUCACUUCAGCUGAUCUUUCUAAAAGCAUGCACCUUUUUAGCUGUUUCAGUUAUGAAUCAUAGAAUGGCCUGGGUUGAAAAGGACCACAAUGCUCAGCCAGUUCCAACCCCCCUGCUAUGGGCAGUUGCCAACCACCAUAUCUUCUUUAUAAAGGGAAGUUUAUUAAGUAAAAUUUGGGUUACUGAGGUUUUAGCACAUGUUGCAUUGAAUCCCUUUUUUUCCCCCCUAAAUCACGUGGUUAAACUUAGUUUGGGUCUCUUACAACCAGAAUCCCUGCUGACUCCGCUCUGGUCCAGGCAGAUUGAACUGAGUCGCAACACUGCUGGUACGCGUCCUCAUCCCCAGUGCCAAGAAAAACCCUUUCCCUCUGUGUUUUCUUGUUAGCAAUACUGCUAUGGAGGCCAAGGACUGACAAUCUUUCUCUUAAUUCUCAAAUCCUCUCCUCCAACAGGGAAGAAGGAAAAAGAUUGAAAAACCUUUUGCUAUUGUUUGGUUGUUUGAUCAUAAAGGGGAACUAGACUGCCAAGCCAGCACCCCAGCAGCCCUAAAUCUAUGUGUAAAAUAUGGGCAAAAGGAGAGAAAAGAUUUAUUGUUAUUAUUAUCAUUACAGACUACCUUUAUAAUAUAUGUGUUUCACUUAAAUUAAUAUUUUAUAACUCUAUAUCAGCCUCUGCAGCCACCCAACAGCAUUUCUUAUUUAUCCAGUCGGACAUACUAAUUUGCUUUUAUCAAAAUACUUGAGAAAUAAUUGUCUUACCUCUCCUAGGACAUGCUACAGGGUUUAUUCUCUCCUUGCUAUCUACAUAGUUAUAAAUCCUCAUGCAUUGAGAGCAGAAUAGGCUUUAUGUGUCUAGCAAUUUCUUAUGAUUUCUAGGCUAUUAUCCCCAAAUCCUAAUUAACCAUUUUUAAAAAUAAUGUGGCCUUUCUACCACGUGAGAUAUACCAACAUGAUAAGAUACGAUGUGAAAGUCCCAAGUAUAAUGUAAUUCUGCUGCUUUACUUUUCCUCUUUUAUUAGAGAUUUCUAACAUAAUACUGCAUUUUCAUCCAAAGUGACAGGAUUCAGUACAUAGUUUGUAGUAUAUGUUUUGCAAACUGCCAGAACAGAGCCAUUGAAUUUAGUUUUCUAAUAAUCAUACAGCCAUACAACACGCCUGUACAUGUCAGAAACUGAAGAAAGCAAAUUUAUACACAACAAUGUGUAUUUUGUAGAUAGCGAUAACCCACCCAAAUCUAAUUUAAUCAAAUAUUUAAAGAGGUAAUAAUUAAUUUUUAAAGAAUUGAAGUGAACCGUAACUAGGAGGAAAUGUUAUUGUUUAUUUUUAAUGCCAGAACUGUAUUCCUGAUGCAUUUUUAAUAUUUCAUUAAGGUGGUAACUUUCAUGGCGUAAUUUUUAAAGUUUCAUAUCUCCCUGAUUUAUUUCUUUUCUUCUGAAGAAAGGUAAAAUGCUAUAGGGAAACUUAAAGCUUAGAAUGAUGCAUUCUUUGAGGAGCUCUUCCUAAAACUUCCUGGAGUCUUUUUAAGCAGAAUUCUUCUUAAGCCUUUCUGGACAAGCAUUCUAAAACCAGAAGUCUUUUAAACAAGCUGAGGUACAGCAUCUUCUUCUGAGCUGAGCAAAGGGUUCUUCUUUCAGCCAAUGAAUGUGUUCAUCGGGUACUACUUUCUAUUCUGUCUCCGAGCUAUUACUCAUCACUCAUCAUUCUUACUUUCCAGAAGAGAUAUCUGCAAGAAUGGUUUUAAAGCCCAUUGCAUUUCAAACCUGUGUUCUGCCCUUCCUCAGUCCUUUGUUUUUUGUUUUAUCCCUUCUUUUCGAUGGAGCGUCUCUCACGUUUUUGAGCCUUUCAUACUCAAACUGUGGAAGCCUGUUUAUUUCACUCUGGCUCCAGCCCUAGUUAAAGGUGUGAACUACCAAAGUGGAAGGGGGCACAUGCACAUUAACACUGCUGUGGAAAACGUCGCCUGACAGAUGGAUGCAUGUUAAAUGGGUGUUUGAAGAAAGGUGUUUGCAAUAAAAAUCCUGAGUAUGGCAUCAGAGGAAGACCACACACAAUUUUCUACUUUUAUUUCUGUAAUAUAUAGGGGCCAGGCUACUUCUGGUCUGCUUUAUACUGUCACUUAAUCAUAUUUGCUAUUUUAUACUAAUAAUUUGUAUAUUAAUAUUUGUGUGUGUAUUUCAAAGUCUGGCUGUUUUCAAGGGUCUGCUCUGCAGCACAAGGGUCUGAGUCAACAUAGUAUAAAUCAUUGGUUUAUUCAAUAAACAAAAUAGUGAAAGGAUAAAUUGAAUUUCUCCAGUUUCAGUCACCAGUUCUUGAUCUCUGGGGGAUACUCACCUAAUAUGUUAGUUAUGGAGCUAUGAAUAUGAUGUGCAGAUACAUCCUUGCUUGGGUUUAUCUACCUUGACCUUAUCUACCCUAAGAACUGAAGUGUUUAAAUUCUGGUUGAGAAUUGAAGCAGGUGAUUAGAACUAGAUGAUCUUUGAGGGCCCUUUCAACCCAAGCCAUUCUAUGACUCUUUGAAAGAGGAACUGUAGAUAAGUUCACUCAAUUUCUGUUCCUAAGUCCUUAGCUGUUCUCUGGAUGGAUAACAGGAUUUUUUAGGCACAGCAUUGCAUUCUCUACCAUCUUUGCUCUUUUCCCAAAAUAUUUCUGACUCAGUCAUCUCCUGCCUACACAGCGAACUUUUGCGCCCCCUGACUUAGGCUGAAUUGGUUUCUCUUUAUGUACAAACAGGACUGCUUUUUCUUUCCUGAUUUCAUAAUUGCUAUUUCUAUUGGUUUGCUUCUUUUAGUUUUCAAUUCUACUUCAACUUGACUAUGAAGAUUAUCAAGAAAUAAAGCAUGAUUCACAUCUACACAUAGUUUACGACCUUUAGAUUCAAGUCCCUUUAUAUAAACUUGCAAAUACGAAAGGAUACGUCAUAAGACCUUGUAGGCACCCAAACUGUCAGUGAAUUCAGCCUGAAACUGUUUUUUUCAGCUUUAUUGAGACCUCUUUAUAAGCUGUGCUCGUGUUAUGACAAUAGAUUGUUUACAGAUUCUUAAAAUGUCCUGAGUUGAUGGAAAAAAAAGGGCAAUUUUUUUCCUUACAAAUACCACUUGACUUUGAGGAGUGUUUGAAGCUACACAACCAGAAUAGGAACAUUCACACCCGCUGUACGAGUGGCUCAAAAACCCUGUCAUUUCUCUCAGGCCCAGCUCCAGCAAGCACUUACACACAUGCUUAACUUUAUGCACACGAGUAAUCCCAUUGAUUUAAUGGGAUUAUUCCCCUAUGCACAGUUACGCAAACAUAAGUGUUUGCAGGACUGGGGUCUAUUUCUCUUGCAAUGAUUUGAAACCUGUGGAAGAAAACGCUAUAUGCAAGUUAGAUAUUAUUUAAUGGCCACAUAUUAAGCCUGAAUAUUUCUGCUGAAAUUGGUGAGGCUGUGUGAGUUUCUUUCUGGCUGAGAAACUGUCCUCUUCUGUGCACAGUGUACACUCCUAGCUUGCUAUGGUGCACCAUGGCUAUCACAGCAUACAAAGGCAUAUGGGAACUGUUGAGUCACAGCCUGAACCACUGACUGAGCACCUGGGGAAAGGACCUGGUCAGCCCUGGGAGCACAGGUGAAGGCAAUUCACCUGUAUGACUGGAAGGGGUGCAGCCUGGCUCCACCUCUCUUAGAUCUCAUUUAAGGGCUGACUGCCACUGGGGAAGGAUCUCCUUCUGGAGAUCCCUCCUUGAUGGAGCUUUCCUUUGUGAACCUGGAAUCAUCUGAUACAGGUGAGCAAUCUUCUUCCCUUCUGUUAUAGCACCUGUCUAUCAUGCUUAUCCUUCAUCAUUAUAUGUCUAGUGAAACACCUUUUCCCAUCAUAUUGAUCUGUCCAUUUACUACAAAAACAAAAUGGAGAGAUAAUCAGUAGUAGAAGUACUAAGAGAGAAAAUUCUCCAUGUCCAGAGGUUACUGUAUUUCAAAGCAUUGAUUUAUAACUUGACAAUGACAUUUACAAAACGUUCCUCUAUGUCCAGGAUAUCCUUCUCAUUAAUGCAAUAACAUAAUAACUCAUAAAUAUUUCAUAUACGUAGAAAAGGCUUACUUUAUAUAUAUAUGUGUGUGUAAAUAAAGAAAUCUAUACACAUAGAGAUGUAUAGUAGAAAAGUACUUCCAAGCAUCAAAAAACUAUGCAUAAAAUUGUAUGCUCGCAUGCACAGGAUGAGCACUGUUAUGAAAAUAACUUUGGUAAAAAUAACUGAACUUGAAGUUGCCUCUGACUUGGAUAGUUCACUUUUGAUUUGAAAUUCUGCAGCCAAGAUAAUUUUUAAAAAUUUAGGGCUAGUAACCAUCUGCCAUAAAUGAUAGAAAUUAAAUAUAAAUAAAAUAGUACUUCUACUACCAGUGAUGGGAAUCACAAGCCAAAUGUAUCCAUGGUCUAGGCAGCAGGAACACUUGUAGAACGAAAGCAGCUAAAGGAGCUGUUUUGGCCCAGACAUGUUUUGAUGUGUAGUGUAUCCUGUUGGCUGAACAACAGCAUUAUUAAGCAAUUUGGGCUGGAGCAUCACUGGGCUCUGUGAAGAAUUUGAAGAUCUUGACUUGAGCGUGUUGCAAGAAGAAUCAUGCUGUGUCAUUCAGUAAAAAUAUAAUCAGUCUUACGCCACUGGCACAUUCAAACACCUAGUGGGAUAUGCUGGGCAUCAGUGUUCAAGGUUUUAUGUAAGGUAACAGCUGCUUUGGUCAGGCAGUUAAUUAAAUGUGUUAAUUUUCCAUACAACCAACAGUAGUGACAACAGAUCAAAGUGGAAUUUUAUGACAUUUCAGGGUUCCCUUAUGUGAUCACAAUGGUGGAUGGCACCCACGCUAUCUUUCACAUCCCUUCACUGUAUGAUGCUGCCUUUCCCCUCUGGAAAGCUUCAGUCUUUAACUCUGCAAAUACUCCAAUGGUAGUACUUUGGUACUACUUGCUGGAUAUUGCCAGUUGUCCCAACUCCAAUCUUGAAAAGCUGCUUGGGCUUAUUCCCAUACUGAUGUUGGUUUAGUCUGAAGAUGAAGCAAUUCAUUUGCAAAGCUAUUUUGAAUUUUCUGCCUCCUGUCUUACAUUUCUUAUGAGAAAUAUUCAAUGAGCAGAUAUGUAGUGUGGAAAUAAACUAGUAUGGUAUUUUUGAAUAGAUACUGUAUUCUUCAGAUGUAGAAUUACAGAAAAUUAUUUCCUUUUCCUUGAUAGUUCCGUUUGCUGCAUUGCGAGAUGACAAAUUCAACCUUUUCCAUAACAUUGCUACUUUCAUAACACAGUAAUAACUCAAAGGCAUCGGGAAAGAUAAGGUAAAUGGAGAUGAUUCAUGGAAACGACUAUGAAAGCUUUUUAGAAAUAAUGGACUGACAAAUAUGAACAAUAUUUGAAUAAUAUAAAUGAACUAGACAAGUUUCUUCCCCACCAAAUGGAUAUAACACUGUGAAGAAAUGUGGAAGAAAUGUAAAACAACAAGUUAAGAGUAUAAGGACUGACCGAAAAUGAGUCACACUCCCACGCUUUUGGCUCACAAUUUGAAAUACUUGUUUUUACUUGAUUGGGUAGCCACUAAAAGUAUAUAGUAAGAUUUGUUUGAAUUUGAUCUGUCACUUUUUUGAUGGGUGACAAUGAUUUUAUGACAUAUGCCACAUAGUGUCACAUCAUUCAAAACACAUUAAGUCACGCUCUAUCCCGUCAUUUCUGAAGGCAAUAAUGCUAUUCAAUGUGACGUGACAUGAGGAGAUGUAACACAACUCAACAGCUGAAAAAAAUAAAAGGAAAGUUUUGUAGGUGUGACGUGGGUUCCUGAAAUUACAUUGUAAUGAAUCUUAGGAGGAAGAUCCCAGGAGCUAAGUUUGUAAAAUAGAUCCAUUGCUUGACUUGUGUCUUUAGGAUGAUGAGCUCUGGGUUACCGUGCACAGAGGGGCAGUGGGUGGAUGCUACAGUCAUGACAGCAGUCUCACUGGGCUCAGAAGCACAAACUAGCUCUUCAGGAACUACUUGCUGGAGGUUCUUAUGCCUGAAAAGAGACAAGACUGGAACCCUCUAUGGCUUGAAACACCUCUGAGUGUUUUAGAGCAUUUAAAAUUACUGCAGCCUUGAGGAUGUCCUAGGCAGAACCCAUUACAAGCUAGAUAUUUGCUGGUUCUAGUCCUCUAACAGCUCCUUAUGGCUGUUUACAUGGAUGGAUAGUAACAGGAAAAGAGGGAAUGGUCUUAAACUGAGACAGGGGAGGUUUAGGUUGGACAUUAGCAGGAAGUUUUUCACACAGAGGUUGGUGACGCACUGGAACAGGUUGCUCAAGGAGGCUGUGGAUGCCCCAUUCCUGGAGGCAUUCAAGGCCAGGCUGGAUGUGGCUCUGGGCAGCCUGGUGUGGUGGCUGGCAACCCUGCACAUAGUAGGGGAUUUGAAACUAGAUGAUCAUUGUGGUCCUUUUCAGCCCUGGCCAUUCUAUGAUUCUAAUAAAAUUAAAAUGAAGGUAUUUCCAGUCUAUAUGAGCUCUGCUCUUGUUUCUUAAACACUAUGUACUGUCCUGCCUUGGGACCAUCAGGAGCAGAGUGUCUGUGUUUUAUAUAGUAUCGUGACGCUAGUUAUUAUUUCUGACUGCAAUGAAGCUAUGUCUACUUAUACACGCAAACAGCCUUUGGCUAGAUUAACAGGAAGUUCUCUCUUCCUACACCAAAAGUAGAACCUCACCACAAAAUGUGAAGUUGCCUGGUCAACUCUGCAAGAUCUCAAAUUCUACAGCUACUCAGGUUGCACCAUAGAUGUUUUCCAGGUUGGUAUAACUUAGCCAUGCACACAAAUAUGGUAUGCUUGCUAGUAUUACACAGCUCCAAAUCUACGCCUUCAUGAAUACCGUCUAGUUGCACAUUAUGUUUUUAUCACCUUUUUGUUGAUGGAGCCUAUGAAUACAGAUUCUCUAAGAUCUUUGGAUACUGUCAGAGUUGGAAGCUCAAGAUCACCCAACCUGAAAUGCUUCCUUAGCUGCCCACCUGGAAUCACUGACCUGAGUUGUCAUCUCCCAAUUCCUAAUAAAAUUCCUGGGAAGGUACUACAUGGCUGUUUUCUACUUUCUUGAAUCUGAUUUUGUUAUAUUCCUUUAAAACUGUCAUUGGAAUUUUUCCUCCUUCUGCAUCCUAACUACAUAAUAACACAGUCCUUAAACCCAGUGUAUAUGAUACAGCUUCAGUAAGAGAAUCAGAAUAGCUGAUCACUGGGGAAAUAGGGCUCUUAUCCAUGUGAGAAGGGGUUACGAAGGCCCUUGGACUUCAGCCUCCAACUCUUAGAUGUACAGCUAACCACUGAACAUUGUAAAUGGGGCACACAGUGCCAGUGAGACCUGAUAUGAUGGCCAAAAAGCUGCUCACAGCUCUGAAUACAAACAGAAAUGUGGGCCCAACUUUCUGCAAUAAUUCACCACCCUAUUUUCACAAUUUCUUAUUAACUUCCCUCUUUUUGGAGCUGCUGCUGUUCUCUAGGCCCGAUUUUCCCUGCUGAUUGUCUUAGAAGACAUCGUUGAUGUCUGGAGUUUUCAUCAUGUUCUAGGGCAGCUGAGAACUGAUCGGAGUAACGUCCAUUCACCUCUUUCUUUUGUGACCUUUUCCAAAAAAAAAUAAACAAUCCUCUGCAGUUCUGUAACUAUCUUUUAAAAUGUUAAUUACUUGCAGGCUGAGUAUCUUGAAGUUCUUCCACCUUUGCUACCAAAGAGUAACUUGUGUAAAUUCUCACUUUGUUGUCACACCUGUUGGAAAUCACUGUUACAACUUAGGUGUGAAAAAAUGUGACUGAACUAUACGUAGUAAGAAAAGUACACACACCAAUCUCAAUGUAAGUGCAUCACUGCUGCUAUAAAACAGACAAAACUACUUUGGUGACAUUCGCUGUUACUGUACGUUGACAAGUUCCCAUUUAAUUUACUACAUAUGGUUCUACGUCUCCAUAGCUACUCUCGUGAAUUCAUUAUUCAUUAAAUAAGUGAUGAAUUUACUCAAAUAUUGCAGCCACAUGGCCGACACAAAUGCAUUCUAAUAUUAUUAACACGUUGCCAACUUGCAACUCUUCGAAGUCUGAGUAAAUGUUUUGACAAGAAGAGGCAGCAAGAACAAAUAAGUAGUAGCAGUCUAGAUGAAGUUCAGCCAUAGUUCUAACAGCUUUAAAGUCUUAACAGUGUUUUCACUGGGGCAGUACCAGAUAAAUUGCUCUUAUGUGUGCAUACAAGAGACUAAAAUUCCUUUGAAAGUUUAUAAUUUCUCAUGGGAAAACACAACAUAAAAGUUACUUUUACUCAUAGAAAAACAACACCAUAUUUUCCUGUCAACCUUUGCUGUUGGGAAUUUCAAACUUUUUGCAUUUUUUCCCUGUGAUUCUUUGUCGACCCAAGGGACAGGCGUUUACAACAUAAUUUACUUUCAGCAUGUCUCUGUAAAUCAUUGUAAUACUUUCUAUGGCUAGAAAGAAAAAAAAAACGCUCUCAAGUUGGACUGACAAAGUACUUUUCUGAGCCUCCAACAGCCAACUAAAAACACCUCUGUUUCAGAAAUGUGGAGAGAUACACAAAAGAAAAGUUUUAUGAGGGCUUUGCGUGAAUGUUUGUAUUCAGAGGUUGUAGCAUUUAUUAGGAAAUAUUUAUUGAACUGCAUUUACUUGCAGUAAAAUAUAUGGAAUGCUUAGUGUGUUGGUGGUACAAAUUAAAAUCACCAGCAUCCCAUGUUUGGAGGAAGGCCGUUAUUUUUUCCUUGCUGUUAUUGAGGCCUGUUGUUGUCACUGUUGUUGUACGGGCUUAGCAGAGCUGUCUCGGAUUAGGUGAUUUAAGCAUGGCCUCCCAUAAAAAAAGCUGGAAACCUGUAGAGCCUUUCAGCCUCACUUUUUGAGGCUGCUGCUAAUAUCAAGGCUCAUUCAGUUUUACAUUAGAACUUGAUGACUUGCACAUUGGUUGAACCUUCACCUUUUACAACCUUAAUGGGGAUUUAUUAGCUAUUUCACAGUGUGUAAAUUUGAAUCUAGGUCAGAUGAGGAAGAAAAAUAGGGCAAAUCUGGGCCUUAAGUAUAACCUGCAUAUAAUAUAUCAGGAUAAAAAAAAAAGGUGCAAAAUUAAACAGAUGAUUAAAAGUGUCUAGAGCAGUCAGAGUUUGAAAAAAGAGCUUGAUAAAUUAGGGGUGUUAGCGGGCUGCUUUUUUUUUUUUCUGAGUUCAAACUCAGGUGACUGGUGAAAGUCUGGUUUCCACACAAAUUCAGCAGAUUAAGGAGUUAAAAUAGCUUGUUAACCUGUUUCUGCUAACUGCUCGCAAGAGGAAAUGUAACACAGGUGUGUUUGAUAUUCGCAAGAUUAAAGCUUUUGUCUACCAUCAAAUGUUCACCACAUUAAAGCUUUUUUAAUGAGGUAUUGGAAGAUAAUGAAUGUAAGCCUCUAAUUCACUGCAGAAGAGACAGCUUGCCCCUGCUCUGACCUCACUGCAGCCAGGUAUCUACAACAUAUUAGUCACACACAGACCCAAAGCCAAAAUAGCCACUCUGCUAAAAGCAGAAGUGUUUCGAGUGCUAGAACUUUUCUGCUCAGCAUCCUGGAAAUUUAAAGUCAGGUAUUCCUAGAGUGAGGGUACCCAUCCCUUACUACAGGAGGGCUGCCUGGAUGAGGAAAAAAAGCAGCAGGCACAAGGAGGGGUUUUUACAGUGCCUGUGGAUGGGGGAGUGAGUAAGGGGAAAAAACGGGUGUGAAUUAAUGCUUACUGCUCAAUUAUCAUUCAUCUUAACACUUAGAGAUGCUUAGAUAGUCAAUAGCUGGAGCAAGGAAACGCUGGGGAGGGCUUUCUGGUUCGUCUGGUUCUGUAUCUAAUAUCUGAUGGAGUCACCCUCCCGCAAGGCAAAGGUAUGCUGCUGCUUAGUUGUUCUUAAUAGAAUAAGCUCCAAAUAAAAAUAAAAUAAAGAUCCCAAAAGGUUCUCCAAACCAGAUUUAUUUUGGCAUGCGUAUGCAGGAAACUAUGUACUGUAGCAAGUUUUAAAUACUGUAUUUGGACACUAAUUCUCAACUGCCGUCAUCAGUUUGCUGACAGCCAUCUGCUUGGACCCUGCUCCUUCCUCCCAUUCAGCACAGCUAAAGUAAAAUAUUGACAGAAACAACUUCUGCAGCAAAAGUGGAAAAGUUAAUAACAUAACUGAAGUCACAUAGGAUUUUUCUCUAAUGUUCUGGAGCCCUCCUCCAAUUUUGUUUUGCUCUUGCCUUUAUUUAGAAGAGUCCCACCCAUCCUAAAAAUAGGAGGCUGUAUAGCCGGAUAUCUUUAGAUGAACAGGUUACCAAGGAGAAAUCUAUAGCCUUAAGUGCCUACCAAAUAGUUUGUGUGACUUAAUCCUAAUGAGCAGUGCACAUGCUCUUGGGGAGCUGGCACACCGUACAGUACAUUGUCAAUCAGAGCAGCAAAAAUGUUGUCAUGGUGCGACUGCUGCCGAAUGAUGCAGAGGAACAUGCUGCAGAUUGCUAAAAUAGUGAUGGAAGGAGCCCAUGCAAUCCCCUAUGUCAUGCCUGGGGCUCAGGCCUGCCAGUGUGGUGCUCAGGGCUGCCUCGGCACUUCAGAUAGCUUUGUUCUGCUCAUGGCCUGUGGUAUUCCCCACCUGAAUGAGUUGGAGCUGCCGUAGCUCAGCACAAAGCAGGCUCUACCUUCAGCUCUUUGCAGGAAAUGCCAUUAAAGCUCUUGCACAGGUCAUAGGGCAAUGCACAAUAGAUGACUUCAC
This 23958-nucleotide long non-coding RNA is filed under the name Gallus gallus (chicken). The record is from RNAcentral. Lineage: Eukaryota; Metazoa; Chordata; Aves; Galliformes; Phasianidae.